This 1667-nucleotide long non-coding RNA is filed under the name Suricata suricatta (meerkat). RNAcentral describes it as "lncRNA (ENSSSUG00005003301.1)". Lineage: Eukaryota; Metazoa; Chordata; Mammalia; Carnivora; Herpestidae. The record is from RNAcentral.
CUUCCAUACUGUUCAUCUUGCUGAUAAAUAUAACCUAAAAUUUUAAUUUGAUGCUAUUCAAUAUAAUUUCCGAUUUCACUGCUUAGAGUUUUAGCAUCAGGAAAGCACUAGAUCUAAAUUCUGAUUUCCUUUCACUUUCAGAGUCUGUCAAAUAACUGAGCAGGUCAAUUUAACUACAGACAACUAUGACGGUAAUGCCUAUAUAUCUUUUAAGCUAAGAGAAAAAUGGUCUUACAUGACAUGCUGGCUGUUUUAGACAAUGAACAAAGUGUGUGCAUAAACUGGUUCCCAACCACAAAAAAUCCUGAAGAAAUUAACCAGAUUAGGAGACAUCUAUAAGACUGGUUUGGAUGCUUCCCUGCAUUAGAGGGGUAGAAACGUCUGUGAGUUUUAAAAAUUAAAAUCAUGCAUUCUCCGCUGGCACCGUCGCUGCUGCCUGCUCCUCCUUCUCGGCCAUGGCAUUCACGUUCAUGGCCUUCUGUUACAUGCUGGCGCUCAUCUUCUCCGCAUUCUGAUUAUAGCAUUUGAUGAACUGAAGACUGAUUACAAGAAUCCCAUAGACCAGUGUAAUACCCUGAAUCCUCUUGUACUUCUAGAGUACCUCAUCCAUGCUACUUCUGUGUCAUGUUUCUUUGUGCAGCAGAGUGGCUUACGCUGGGUCUCAAUAUGCCCCUCUUGGCAUGUCAUAUUUGGAGCUUGAUCUAUGUUCUGGUGAGCUCUUAGAACAACACCCAGAAGAAUUGGUCCAGUAAGUGCAUGCAGAAAGCCACCAAAUGAAGGGAUUCUAUCCAGGAAGAUCCUGUUUCCAAGAGUAGCCUAUGGAAUCUGAUUAGUUACUUUAAAAAAUGACCCCUUAUUUUUUAAAUGUUUUCAUAUUUUUGCUUGUGGAAAGACUUUUCAUAUGUUAUACUUGGAUAAAGAAUUUAAAUGCAAUUACAUAUAAAUUAAUAUAAAAUGAUUACCUCUGGUGUUAACAGGUUUGAACUUGCAUUCCUUAAAGAACAGCCAUAAUCCCUUGAAUGAUUGUAUUAAUUAUUGACUAUCCUUAGUCCAGUGGAAGCUUUUGUUUAUAGGAACUUGUAGGGCUCAUUUUGGUUUUAUUGAAGUGCCAUCUAAUGAUAAAUUAGCUGUAGAUAUCAGAUGCUUCUGAUGAACUGAAAAUAUGUAUCUGACUUGUGGGAAACUUCAUGGGUUUUCUCAUUUAUCAUGUAUAUAUUAUAUAUGGACGCAUUUACAAAAUAUGAAGAGUGAGAUUUUCUUCCCUUCAACUUGAUAUUAUCCCUGUAUAUUGCAUGAGUGAGAGAUUUCCCAUUAUUUCCAUCAGAGUAAUAUACUUGCUCUAAUUCUUAAGCAUAAGUGAACAUGAUAUAAAAAAUAUAUGCUGAAUUACUUGUGAAGAAUGCAUUUAAAGCUAUUUUAAAUGUGUUUUAAUUUGUAAGACAUUACUCAUUAAGAAAUUGGUUAUUAUGCUUAAUGUUCUAAUCUGGUGGUAAAGGUAUUCUUAAGAAUUUGCAAGUACUUUAGAUUUUCAAAACGGAAUGAGAGAGAACAUUGUAUACCCAUCCUGCUGGUCCCUUAGUGCAAUACAAUAAAACUCUGAAAUUAACUUAUUUUCAGUGCAUUGUUUUAAAGAUUACAAAUAGCUGUUUCUUACACUUGCUUAAUCC